Molecule: ribosomal RNA, 859 nt
Filed under: uncultured Bacillus sp.
Lineage: Bacteria; Bacillati; Bacillota; Bacilli; Caryophanales; Bacillaceae
Description: bacterial SSU rRNA
Rfam family: Bacterial small subunit ribosomal RNA
Source: RNAcentral
CUAUAAUGCAGUCGAGCGGACAGAUGGGAGCUUGCUCCCUGAUGUUAGCGGCGGACGGGUGAGUAACACGUGGGUAACCUGCCUGUAAGACUGGGAUAACUCCGGGAAACCGGGGCUAAUACCGGAUGGUUGUUUGAACCGCAUGGUUCAAACAUAAAAGGUGGCUUCGGCUACCACUUACAGAUGGACCCGCGGCGCAUUAGCUAGUUGGUGAGGUAACGGCUCACCAAGGCGACGAUGCGUAGCCAACCUGAGAGGGUGAUCGGCCACACUGGGACUGAGACACGGCCCAGACUCCUACGGGAGGCAGCAGUAGGGAAUCUUCCGCAAUGGACGAAAGUCUGACGGAGCAACGCCGCGUGAGUGAUGAAGGUUUUCGGAUCGUAAAGCUCUGUUGUUAGGGAAGAACAAGUACCGUUCGAAUAGGGCGGUACCUUGACGGUACCUAACCAGAAAGCCACGGCUAACUACGUGCCAGCAGCCGCGGUAAUACGUAGGUGGCAAGCGUUGUCCGGAAUUAUUGGGCGUAAAGGGCUCGCAGGCGGUUUCUUAAGUCUGAUGUGAAAGCCCCCGGCUCAACCGGGGAGGGUCAUUGGAAACUGGGGAACUUGAGUGCAGAAGAGGAGAGUGGAAUUCCACGUGUAGCGGUGAAAUGCGUAGAGAUGUGGAGGAACACCAGUGGCGAAAGCGACUCUCUGGUCUGUAACUGACGCUGAUGAGCGAAAGCGUGGGGAGCGAACAGGAUUAGAUACCCUGGUAGUCCACGCCGUAACGAUGAGUGCUAAGUGUUUAAGGGGGUUUCCGCCCCUUAAUGCUGCAGCUAACGCACUAAGCACUCCGCCUGGGGGAGUACAGUCGC